RNAcentral lists this ribosomal RNA (2043 nucleotides) under Salmonella enterica. RNAcentral describes it as "partial 23S ribosomal RNA". It matches the Rfam family "Bacterial large subunit ribosomal RNA", at positions 778 to 2802 of the family's 2925-position model. The record is from RNAcentral. Lineage: Bacteria; Pseudomonadati; Pseudomonadota; Gammaproteobacteria; Enterobacterales; Enterobacteriaceae. RNAcentral also lists the same sequence under 1 other name.
ACCGACUAAUGUUGAAAAAUUAGCGGAUGACCUGUGGCUGGGGGUGAAAGGCCAAUCAAACCGGGAGAUAGCUGGUUCUCCCCGAAAGCUAUUUAGGUAGCGCCUCGUGAAUUCAUCUCCGGGGGUAGAGCACUGUUUCGGCUAGGGGGCCAUCCCGGCUUACCAACCCGAUGCAAACUGCGAAUACCGGAGAAUGUUAUCACGGGAGACACACGGCGGGUGCUAACGUCCGUCGUGAAGAGGGAAACAACCCAGACCGCCAGCUAAGGUCCCAAAGUCAUGGUUAAGUGGGAAACGAUGUGGGAAGGCCCAGACAGCCAGGAUGUUGGCUUAGAAGCAGCCAUCAUUUAAAGAAAGCGUAAUAGCUCACUGGUCGAGUCGGCCUGCGCGGAAGAUGUAACGGGGCUAAACCAUGCACCGAAGCUGCGGCAGCGACACUGUGUGUUGUUGGGUAGGGGAGCGUUCUGUAAGCCUGUGAAGGUGUGUCGUGAGGCAUGCUGGAGGUAUCAGAAGUGCGAAUGCUGACAUAAGUAACGAUAAAGCGGGUGAAAAGCCCGCUCGCCGGAAGACCAAGGGUUCCUGUCCAACGUUAAUCGGGGCAGGGUGAGUCGACCCCUAAGGCGAGGCCGAAAGGCGUAGUCGAUGGGAAACGGGUUAAUAUUCCCGUACUUGGUGUUACUGCGAAGGGGGGACGGAGAAGGCUAUGUUGGCCGGGCGACGGUUGUCCCGGUUUAAGCGUGUAGGUGUGUGUUCCAGGUAAAUCCGGUUCACUUUAACACUGAGGCGUGACGACGAGGCACUACGGUGCUGAAGCAACAAAUGCCCUGCUUCCAGGAAAAGCCUCUAAGCAUCAGGUAACAUCAAAUCGUACCCCAAACCGACACAGGUGGUCAGGUAGAGAAUACCAAGGCGCUUGAGAGAACUCGGGUGAAGGAACUAGGCAAAAUGGUGCCGUAACUUCGGGAGAAGGCACGCUGACACGUAGGUGAAGUGAUUUACUCAUGGAGCUGAAGUCAGUCGAAGAUACCAGCUGGCUGCAACUGUUUAUUAAAAACACAGCACUGUGCAAACACGAAAGUGGACGUAUACGGUGUGACGCCUGCCCGGUGCCGGAAGGUUAAUUGAUGGGGUCAGCGCAAGCGAAGCUCCUGAUCGAAGCCCCGGUAAACGGCGGCCGUAACUAUAACGGUCCUAAGGUAGCGAAAUUCCUUGUCGGGUAAGUUCCGACCUGCACGAAUGGCGUAAUGAUGGCCAGGCUGUCUCCACCCGAGACUCAGUGAAAUUGAACUCGCUGUGAAGAUGCAGUGUACCCGCGGCAAGACGGAAAGACCCCGUGAACCUUUACUAUAGCUUGACACUGAACAUUGAGCCUUGAUGUGUAGGAUAGGUGGGAGGCUUUGAAGUGUGGACGCCAGUCUGCAUGGAGCCGACCUUGAAAUACCACCCUUUAAUGUUUGAUGUUCUAACGUGGACCCGUUACCCGGGUUGCGGACAGUGUCUGGUGGGUAGUUUGACUGGGGCGGUCUCCUCCUAAAGAGUAACGGAGGAGCACGAAGGUUGGCUAAUCCUGGUCGGACAUCAGGAGGUUAGUGCAAUGGCAUAAGCCAGCUUGACUGCGAGCGUGACGGCGCGAGCAGGUGCGAAAGCAGGUCAUAGUGAUCCGGUGGUUCUGAAUGGAAGGGCCAUCGCUCAACGGAUAAAAGGUACUCCGGGGAUAACAGGCUGAUACCGCCCAAGAGUUCAUAUCGACGGCGGUGUUUGGCACCUCGAUGUCGGCUCAUCACAUCCUGGGGCUGAAGUAGGUCCCAAGGGUAUGGCUGUUCGCCAUUUAAAGUGGUACGCGAGCUGGGUUUAGAACGUCGUGAGACAGUUCGGUCCCUAUCUGCCGUGGGCGCUGGAGAACUGAGGGGGGCUGCUCCUAGUACGAGAGGACCGGAGUGGACGCAUCACUGGUGUUCGGGUUGUCAUGCCAAUGGCACUGCCCGGUAGCUAAAUGCGGAAGAGAUAAGUGCUGAAAGCAUCUAAGCACGAAACUUGCCCCGA